Zea mays is the source of this 312-nucleotide long non-coding RNA. RefSeq lists it as uncharacterized. Lineage: Eukaryota; Viridiplantae; Streptophyta; Magnoliopsida; Poales; Poaceae. The transcript has 3 exons. The record is from RefSeq and is a predicted model, not a curated record.
CUUUGGGGCGAGCGGGCCACAGCUUUCCCAGCUGAACAGAUCCACAGGGACAGUCGAUCCUCACCGCAGAUCAUAGUAUUUGUUGGCACUCUCGUGAGGAGUUACGCUGAUAAUGUGUCAUUAUCGGGUGGAUCAUCAUGCAAGUGGUACAUAAACGCACCGCUACCGGAAGUAAACGCUCUCAGAGCUAGUGCUGAAACCAACCACAACCCUGUCAUUUGGGAUCAGGGGAAAGCAGCUGCUGAGAGUACAGUCAUUGCAGUUCCUGAACAUAAGAAACUCAAGGAUAUUAAAUACCUCCAUCCUUUUGAA